GGUCGAAUGGUCUAGUGGUUAUGAUUUCUGUCUCACACACAGAAGGUCCCCGGUUCGACCCCGGGUUCGACCA
Transfer RNA from Agaricus bisporus var. burnettii JB137-S8, 73 nucleotides. It matches the Rfam family "tRNA". Rfam says of the family: Transfer RNA (tRNA) molecules are approximately 80 nucleotides in length. The record is from Rfam. NCBI's taxonomy places the organism in Eukaryota, Fungi, Basidiomycota, Agaricomycetes, Agaricales, Agaricaceae.